AAGCGUUGUGUAAAUAAUUUGUAGAUGUUCGAAGAGGAGUUCAGAGUAAGGAACUUGCGUUUCUCUCGCGGAAUGGACGAAAGAGAGAAAGAAGGUGGUGGGUGGGUUAGCUUCUCGACCCCAAACCACCGAAAGUCCACGAUGAGAUAUGAAAAAAAUGAAAAGUGAUAUCUCUGUUAACAGGAGAUCAUGGUGGCUUCGGAGUUUCGCCCCGGAAACAGGAGGAUCAGGAAUGCAUCGAACGCGCGGAUCCGAAUCCACUCGAGUAUCCGCCCUUAAGCUCCCGGAGGGUAGAAGGAUUUGCCGCUUCAGUGACUUUGAAAGAAACAGAAACGGCUAAAGAAUCAGGAACGCAAACGAAAGAGGAGCAAUGGCAACGGAUAUUCCUCAAGAGUGCCUCUGUGUCGCUUUUCUAGCCGUGGAAGCUACAGAGAUGGAAACAAAAUGUUCGUGGGCCUUCGAAGCGUUUUUAAAAUGCCCGCCAUUGAACGUCAAUGCGACAGUCGAGCAAAGGUUCAUGAUUGACUGUGGCAUUGGCAGCCAUUUGAUUCGAAACGGAGUUUGCGUGACACCAGGAGAUCAUGUAUGCGCAAAAAUUCUUUGGAACAGGACUGAGCUUUCAGGGAAGCGUAUGUUUAUGUAUAAACAGCUUCACAUUGAUAUGGAUAUUCUGUUUGUUGAUAGUUAAUUCUUUAGUUUUUUAGAUUCUUUAAAAAUUUUAAAAGCGUCGUUCAGUAAUGGAGUAUUAUUGGGAGUUGUUGGUAGUUCUAUAAGAAAACGUGGAACUUGUCAUUCUGGAUUCUAUUACUUGAUAUUUCGUUAUUUAUUAUUUUCCUUGAAAUAAUUUAGCUCUUUUUUACAAAUAUAAACAAAGUUCAAAGAGUUAGAAGCAAAAUAGACGUCGUGUGUUCCUAAUACAAGCAAAGCUAUACAUAUAAACGUACGAGAGUAUACCUGCACAAGCGUCAUAGAAACCAAUGUUUUGCGAACUGUCUUCCAGUUAGUAUACGAACUCUAUGUUAGUAAUACUAGUAACCACGCGAACUUCGAAACAUUGGGCCACACAUGAUCAGGAAAGUAUGAAGGCAAGAGUUCGCGUGAUAGUUCAUGAUGCCGGUAACAGGAAACAAGUAUGCGUUAGUUAUAUCAAUACACUUGUACUACGAUGUUUCAUUGAGCUCUAUUUGCGUGUUAAAACGGAUCAAGAACGACGGAGAAAUGGCUCUGGUCGAAGACAAAUCCGAGAAUCGAACAUCGAGAACAGAGAACGAAUAAACAACCUUAUAGGGAUGUUAGAAGAUGGUAGAAGGUUGAACGCAUUUGCCUAGGCAUUUCUUGCGGGAAGGGUAUCGAUCGUGUGUGGUGUAUAGUAAAGCAGGGUCAUUUUCAUUUCUUAAGCGGUCGCUUAAGCUUCGAUAUCUUAUCUCGUCAUCGAGUCGUCACAACAAUUACAGAUUUUUCAGAAUUUUAUCACGUGCUUCUGAUUUCCGUUAUUCAUAAUGAUAUGUCGUAAUUAAUCUUCGUAUUGUCAAAUCAAUUCUAUUAAUUAUAUGCUAUCAAGUAUAUAGGAAGUAUGGCUCGGAAACUCGCAGUGCAAUUUAUCGAUAACCUAACGGACAAAUUAUAAUGGAAAGAGCAGCCUACGUUAUUAUAUAUUGGGAACAGAAGAACCCAUUAGAGUUCGUUAAUUACACGUAUCUUUCAAAUAUCUUUCGAUAAAAUCAGCGAAAGAUAAUUAUCGAAAGUGGUGAUACCGCGCAUGACCGUGGUAAAAAUCGUGAUUGUUCACU
Bombus pascuorum is the source of this 1790-nucleotide long non-coding RNA. RefSeq lists it as uncharacterized. The record is from RefSeq and is a predicted model, not a curated record. The transcript has 3 exons. NCBI's taxonomy places the organism in Eukaryota, Metazoa, Arthropoda, Insecta, Hymenoptera, Apidae.